GACGAACGCUGGCGGCGUGCCUAACACAUGCGAGUCGAACGGAAAGGCCCUGCUUUUGUGGGGUGCUCGAGUGGCGAACGGGUGAGUAACACGUGAGUAACCUGCCCUUGACUUUGGGAUAACUUCAGGAAACUGGGGCUAAUACCGGAUAGGAGCUCCUGCUGCAUGGUGGGGGUUGGAAAGUUUCGGCGGUUGGGGAUGGACUCGCGGCUUAUCAGCUUGUUGGUGGGGUAGUGGCUUACCAAGGCUUUGACGGGUAGCCGGCCUGAGAGGGUGACCGGCCACAUUGGGACUGAGAUACGGCGCAGACUCCUACGGGAGGCAGCAGUGGGGAAUAUUGCACAAUGGGCGGAAGCCUGAUGCAGCAACGCCGCGUGCGGGAUGACGGCCUUCGGGUUGUAAACCGCUUUCGCCUGUGACGAAGCGUGAGUGACGGUAAUGGGUGAAGAAGCACCGGCUAACUACGUG
This 468-nucleotide ribosomal RNA is filed under the name uncultured bacterium. RNAcentral describes it as "partial 16S ribosomal RNA". It matches the Rfam family "Bacterial small subunit ribosomal RNA", at positions 28 to 507 of the family's 1533-position model. The record is from RNAcentral.